RNAcentral lists this unclassified non-coding RNA (346 nucleotides) under uncultured fungus. RNAcentral describes it as "partial contains 5.8S ribosomal RNA and internal transcribed spacer 2". The stretch from base 1 to 133 matches the Rfam family "5.8S ribosomal RNA", at positions 22 to 154 of the family's 154-position model. The record is from RNAcentral. Lineage: Eukaryota; Fungi.
UGGUUCUGGCAUCGAUGAAGAACGCAGCGAAAUGCGAUAGGUAAUGCGAAUUGCAGAAUUCCGUGAGUCAUCGAAUCUUUGAACGCACAUUGCGCCCUCUGGUAUUCCGGAGGGCAUGCCUGUCCGAGCGUCAUUAUCAACCCUCAAGCCCCCGCUUGGCCUUGGGUCCCGUCAGGGCACCCCCCGCUCUGGGGGAGAGGCCUGACCGACCCGAAAGGGAAUGGCGGACCCCGUGGGAACCCCGGAUGCAGCGAGCCCCUGGCACGCGUCGCGGUGGAUCCCCGGGGCUUCGGCCCAACCACCCCAAUCUCCAGUUGACCUCGGAUCAGGUAGGGAUACCCGCUGA